This 427-nucleotide ribosomal RNA is filed under the name uncultured bacterium. RNAcentral's name for it is "bacterial SSU rRNA". It matches the Rfam family "Bacterial small subunit ribosomal RNA", at positions 355 to 774 of the family's 1533-position model. The record is from RNAcentral.
UGGGGAAUUUUGGACAAUGGGCGAAAGCCUGAUCCAGCCAUGCCGCGUGAGUGAAGAAGGCCUUCGGGUUGUAAAGCUCUUUUAGUCGGAAAGAAAGAGUUGCAAUGAAUAAUUGUGAUUUACGACGGUACCGACAGAAAAAGCACCGGCUAACUACGUGCCAGCAGCCGCGGUAAUACGGAGGGUGCAAGCGUUAUUCGGAUUCACUGGGUUUAAAGGGUGCGUAGGUGGGUAUGUAAGUCAGUGGUGAAAUCCCCGAGCUUAACUUGGGAACUGCCGUUGAUACUAUAUAUCUUGAAUGUCGUAGAGGUAAGCGGAAUAUGUCAUGUAGCGGUGAAAUGCUUAGAGAUGACAUAGAACACCAAUUGCGAAGGCAGCUUGCUAUGCGAUUAUUGACACUGAGGCACGAAAGCGUGGGUAGCAAACA